Erinaceus europaeus (western European hedgehog) is the source of this 4137-nucleotide RNA transcript. It is a transcript of the gene named inhibitor of DNA binding 4, with no coding region annotated. The transcript has 3 exons. NCBI's taxonomy places the organism in Eukaryota, Metazoa, Chordata, Mammalia, Eulipotyphla, Erinaceidae. The record is from RefSeq and is a predicted model, not a curated record.
UGGCUGGGCUGGAGCGUAGAGGAGGCGCGGUUGAGUCGGUCUCGUAGUGUGGGAGACGGGCGGCGGCCGAGUUGUCGGAGCUCCAAAGGGAGUGACUAGAGAAGCCGGUGGGUUGCUUUCCUUCCGGUGCUUUUUUUUUUUUUUUUUUCUGGUCUCUGGGUCCCGACCCUGUGUCGCCCGCCGAGCAGAGAUUCAUUCCCCUGACAAAACCCGGAGUUGACCCUUUCGGUCAAUUGUUGGGCGCGGGAUCGCCCUGAGCUUCGCGCAACCCCGAACGCGCGGGGCGUGAAGGCCACGCGAGCGGAGCCCACCGCGAGCGCGGACCCGGAGCCUGCCUGCCUGCCUGCCUGCCUGCCUGCCUGCCUCCCUCGUCCGCGGCGGGUCCUGUAGCGCAGGACGCAGAGCGCAGCGCACGCGAUGAAAGCCGUGAGCCCGGUGCGCCCCUCGGGCCGCAAGGCGCCGUCGGGCUGCGGCGGCGGGGAGCUGGCGCUGCGCUGCCUGGCCGAGCACGGCCACAGUCUGGGAGGCUCGGCGGCCGCGGCGGCCGCGGCGGCGGCAGCGCGCUGCAAGGCGGCAGAGGCGGCGGCCGACGAGCCCGCGCUGUGCCUGCAGUGCGAUAUGAACGACUGCUACAGCCGCCUGCGGAGGCUGGUGCCCACCAUCCCGCCCAACAAGAAAGUCAGCAAAGUAGAGAUCCUGCAGCACGUUAUCGACUACAUCCUGGACCUGCAGCUGGCGCUGGAGACGCACCCGGCUCUGCUGAGACAACCGCCACCGCCGGCGCCGCCGCACCACCCGGCCGGGACCUGUCCAGCCGCGCCGGCGCGGACCCCGCUCACGGCGCUCAACACCGACCCGGCCGGCGCGGUGAACAAGCAGGGCGACAGCAUUCUGUGCCGCUGAGCCGCGCUGUCCAGGUGAGCGCGCGUUUCCCUCCUGCGGUGGCCGAGCUCCAGUGACGCCUUUCCCCGGGGCUUCCGGUGCCAAGCCUCGCAGGGCUCUCGGCGCCCUUGCAAUUCUGAAACAAAUUCCCAAGAGGGCGGAUACCCCACCCCAGUUAGCAAUGAACUCGUCUUUCACUUUAGUGUGCAGCCGCCUGAGCCCGAGCCAGGAGCGCUAGAGAGGGAGGGGGAAGAGCAGAAGUUAGAGAAAAAGCCACCGAAGGAAAGGAAAAAAAAAAAAAAAAUCUGCAAAUCCUAGAAUCAUUCGUCAUUCCAGGAGAGGGAGAGGAAAGAAAAACGAAGCUCUUAUCCUUUAUUAUUAUUUUUUUGCACGUUCAUAGACAUUCUACAUACGUAUUCUUUUUUGGUCUCUCCAUUUAUAACCGCUGUGAAUUGUAUAUAUUUUUUGGUGUUUUUUUUUUUUUUUUUUGGAGGUGCAGUUAAACUUUUUUAAGCUUAAGUGUGCCAGGACUGAUAAAUAGAAGAUCACGAGUAAAUUUCCGACUUUAGAAGCCUACUUUGUGACCAAGGAGCUCAAUUUUUGUUUUGAAGCUUUACUAAUAUACCAGAGCAUUGUAGAUAUUUUUUUUUACAUCUAUUGUUUAAAAUAGAUGAUUAUAACAGAGCAGGGAACUUUCUUUUCUCUGCAAGAAUGUUACAUAUUGUAUAGAUAACUGAGUGACAUUUCAUACCAUGUAUAUAUAGAGAUGUUCUAUAAGUGUGAGAAAGUAUAUGCUUUAAUAGUCUACUGUAACUAUAAGAUAUUUUUAAUUAAAUAUUUUUUGUAAAUAUUAUCUGUGUGUUUUUUUAAUCUUUGGGAAUAUUUCUUUUGAAAAAAAUCAUUUUUCAGCUCAAAUUGCAGAGCUCUUAGUAUCUUGAAUAUCUUUUCUGUUUGACUUGGCUUGUAAUUUGUUUUUGUUUUACCCAGUGUCCUGUACACUUGGAAGUAACAGUUAUAGCUAGUGGUCCUGCAUGACUGCAUGCGAUGUUUAAUCACAAAAUAAACUUGUUCUGAGUCCAUUCAAAUGUGUUUUCUUUAACCUAGUUAAACUCUUUGUAUUUGAAGCAUACAUGUUGAAAAUAUACUUUUAUCAAGUUUAAGUACAGGGUUCGGUAGUGUAAUGUAUAAAGAAUAUUUGGGUUUUUUUUGUUUGUUUUGCUUUUUAACUGAGGUCAAAAUGGAUUCUGAAUGAUUUUGCAUAUGAGAUGGGCAAUGCUUGGAUCUUUUAAGAAGUUUAUCAAAUUUCCUGUUUUAUCGAAGUGAAAAUAGUGCUUAUCAUCCUUCAUUUUACACAAAAGCUUAAUGUCAACUACGUUUCAUGUCUGUACAGAUUAUUUAAGUCAUAGAAAUGGAAAAUGUUCUUUGCUUGCUACCAAAGGACAAACUGCUGGAAACGAACACUUUCUGCUUUCUUCCUCCAAAGAAUAUUAAUAGGCAACAGUGGGAAAAAUUAAAAGGCAUAAUGGCAAAUCCUUCAAGCAGGGAUAAAAGUCGAUCUUCAAACAUUAAAUAGACCAAAAAUUCUGAUGACCGCAUCUAGAUUAUUUUUUUAUAAAAAUGAUUUUCACUAUAGCUAUGUUAGUUACUGCGAAACUACUGUCCAAUCUCUCGUGGUGUGUAACUUUUCCAUGUGAAUAUUAAAGUAGAUUUAUCUGUCUUGUACUGUGAUUUCUGGUCUUGUUUCUUACAACCCUUAUUUUAAAAGGUUAUUUUCUCUUUAAGAAAGGCAGUGUUUUCUAGGUUUAGAACUAUCAGGGCUUGUGAACAUGCAUUUUAAUGUGAUCAGUACUUUACACACCAGUUAAAUGGAAUUUUUAGAGUGAGAAUUAAGUAGGAUUUAAUUGGGUGCUUUGUAAAUAGUUAGUCAACUGUGUGUGCAACGUGGUCUGUUUGAUUUUUAAAAGGAAAGGAUUUGUUUCAGAUUAUACAAGAAUAAAAGUAUUAUAGGCCCUAGGGACUUUUUAUGAGGUCAAAGUCAAAUAUUUAUAUGAAAAUGAAAUAUCAUGGCCCCUAGUAGUCAGUUGAAGUGGCAGUAUCUCAACAGAAAUGAAUAAUUUAAGAGUAGUAGGUUCAAAUAAAUAGAAUGGUUAAAAGUCUGUCCUGUCCCUAGCAUGUUAUCUCCCUCAGCUUUGAUAUUUCACUGAUUUUAGGAAUUUUUAGAAUUUAACAUAUUUGAUGGUGGACCUUAUAAAGUCAAAGAACUGCUUGUUUAGAUGAAGUUUAUUUUUUGUUUUUGAUGUUCAUUCUUGUCCUACACCAGGAGGAAAACACAAGGACACUGCUGGAAUUCCAAAUCUCAAUAAUUCUAGUCAUCUUACUCCUUGUUAUUUAAAAAAAAAUAAAAAGGGACAAUACCUCUUUUUUAUUUAUUUAUAUUUUUGCGGGAGUGGGAGGGCAUUCUAAUUUCUGCAGGAACCAAGUCAAACCAGGUACUGUUGGUUGGAGUUAGGCAUUCCACAGGCUUGGCUGCAGAACCCUACCUAAGUUUAGGCACAGUUUAAACUUCUGCUGGUACAUAACAAACCUCAAAGUAAAUGAAUAGGUAUUUUUGGUUUCUGAAGCUAGAUGUUGCUUUUGAGUUAAUUUUACAUUUUUGAACAUAAACCACAGAAAAGGAAAGGACAGAAGUGCUGUAGAUGUUACGUUUUAGACAGAUGGCAUCUUCCUCCUGGUCACUGUUGUGGCAUUUACUAUCUAAAGAAACAGAGUCCUUGUUUAUUUUAUUUUAUUUUUUCUAAUUGUAUGCACUUGCAUUAAGUUAUUUUCUGUUGAAAUGUUGGUUGUAUCCUAACCAAGCAGCCAGGUAACAAAAAUACUUUGAGUGGCAUAUUACGGUAGUUCUAAUUAUUCAACUAUUUAGUUAAGCGGAGAAAAACAUCAUAACUUUUCUCAUUUGAUUGGUUUCCUUUUCAUAGUAGAGGCACAACCAAAGAAUAAGAAUUAUUUAAAUCUUAAAAAAAAAAAAAGUACUCCACAGUCGGGUGAUGUUUAUAAUGUGGUUAAAAAAUUCUGAACAUCUCAGAUAUCUCAUGUUUAAAGGGGGUGGGGAGGAAUCUCAAUACUUUGAUAUUGUGUAAAAUCUUACUCAAGUUUAUUGUCAAGCUUUAACUGAAUUUUUAGAACUUUAAAGCAUUUUGACCCCUACAAUCUAUUGUAUUAAAUGCCUUCUAUAAAAAUAAAUCUUCACUGAGCAAA